This 446-nucleotide ribosomal RNA is filed under the name uncultured bacterium. Its description in RNAcentral is "partial 16S ribosomal RNA". It matches the Rfam family "Bacterial small subunit ribosomal RNA", at positions 338 to 795 of the family's 1533-position model. The record is from RNAcentral.
CCUACGGGAGGCAGCAGUCGAGAAUCAUUCACAAUGGGGGAAACCCUGAUGGUACGACGCCGCGUGGGGGAAUGAAGGUCUUCGCAUUGUAAACCCCUGUCAUGUGGGAGCAAAUUAAAAAGAUAGUACCACACGAUGAAGAGACGCCUAACUCGCUGCCAGCAGCCGCGGUCAUACAGAGGUCUCAAGCGUUGUUCGGCAUCACGGGGCGUAAAGCGUGCGUAGUCUGUUUAGUAAGUCGUGGGUGAAAGGCGCGGGCUCAACCCGCGGACGGCACAUGAUACUGCGAGACUAGAGUAAUGGAGGGGGAACCGGAAUGCUCGGUGUAGCAGUGAAAUGCGUAGAUAUCGAGAGGAACACUCGUGGCGAAGGCGGGUUCCUGGACAUUAACUGACGCUGAGGCACGAAGGCCAGGGGAGCGAAAGGGAUUAGAUACCCCAGUAGUC